CCCCCCCUAAUUUUGCAAGUCGAACGCACUCUCGUUAGAUUGAAGAAGCUUGCUUCUGAUUGAUAACAUUUGAGUGAGUGGCGGACGGGUGAGUAACACGUGGGUAACCUGCCCUAAAGUGGGGGAUAACAUUUGGAAACAGAUGCUAAUACCGCAUAAAACCUAGCACCGCAUGGUGCAAGGUUGAAAGAUGGUUUCGGCUAUCACUUUAGGAUGGACCCGCGGUGCAUUAGUUAGUUGGUGAGGUAAAGGCUCACCAAGACCGUGAUGCAUAGCCGACCUGAGAGGGUAAUCGGCCACACUGGGACUGAGACACGGCCCAGACUCCUACGGGAGGCAGCAGUAGGGAAUCUUCCACAAUGGACGAAAGUCUGAUGGAGCAACGCCGCGUGAGUGAAGAAGGUUUUCGGAUCGUAAAACUCUGUUGUUGGAGAAGAACGUAUUUGAUAGUAACUGAUCAGGUAGUGACGGUAUCCAACCAGAAAGCCACGGCUAACUACGUGCCAGCAGCCGCGGUAAUACGUAGGUGGCAAGCGUUGUCCGGAUUUAUUGGGCGUAAAGCGAGCGCAGCGGUU
Molecule: ribosomal RNA, 575 nt
Filed under: uncultured bacterium
Lineage: Bacteria
Description: bacterial SSU rRNA
Rfam family: Bacterial small subunit ribosomal RNA
Source: RNAcentral